RNAcentral lists this ribosomal RNA (495 nucleotides) under uncultured bacterium. RNAcentral's name for it is "partial 16S ribosomal RNA". The record is from RNAcentral.
GUAGUUAGCCGUGGCUUCCUCCUUAGGUACCGUCAUUAUCGUCCCUAAAGACAGAGCUUUACAAUCCGAAGACCGUCAUCACUCACGCGGCGUUGCUGGGUCAGGCUUGCGCCCAUUGCCCAAUAUUCCCCACUGCUGCCUCCCGUAGGAGUCUGGACCGUGUCUCAGUUCCAGUGUGGCCGAUCAGCCUCUCAGCUCGGCUACCCAUCGUCGGCUUGGUGGGCUGUUAUCUCACCAACUACCUAAUGGGACGCGAACCCCUCUAAAAGCGAUAAAUCUUUGACCUCUUCCCGAUGCCGGGUUGUGGUCUUAUGCGGUAUUAGCAGUUGUUUCCACCUGUUAUUCCCCACUCUUAGGCAGGUUGUUCACGCGUUACUCACCCGUGCGCCACUAGAAUUAUCAAUUCCAUCCGAAAACUUCCUUAAUAAUCCCCGUUCGACUUGCAUGUGUUAGGCACGCCGCCAGCGUUCGUCCUGAGCCAGAAUCAAACUCUGA